Molecule: transfer RNA, 68 nt
Filed under: Carabus smaragdinus
Lineage: Eukaryota; Metazoa; Arthropoda; Insecta; Coleoptera; Carabidae
Description: tRNA-Asp
Source: RNAcentral
AAAGAAUUAGUUAAAUUAUAUAACAUUAGAAUGUCAAACUAAAAUUAUUAAUAUAUUAAUAUUCUUUG